CCUACGGGAGGCAGCAGUGGGGAAUUUUGGACAAUGGGCGAAAGCCUGAUCCAGCAAUGCCGCGUGAGUGAAGAAGGCCUUCGGGUUGUAAAGCUCUUUUGUCAGGGAAGAAACGGCCUGUUCUAAUACAGUGGGCUAAUGACGGUACCUGAAGAAUAAGCACCGGCUAACUACGUGCCAGCAGCCGCGGUAAUACGUAGGGUGCAAGCGUUAAUCGGAAUUACUGGGCGUAAAGCGUGCGCAGGCGGUUUUGUAAGUCUGUCGUGAAAUCCCCGGGCUCAACCUGGGAAUGGCGAUGGAGACUGCAAGGCUAGAGUUUGGCAGAGGGGGGUAGAAUUCCACGUGUAGCAGUGAAAUGCGUAGAUAUGUGGAGGAACACCGAUGGCGAAGGCAGCCCCCUGGGUCAAGACUGACGCUCAUGCACGAAAGCGUGGGGAGCAAACAGGAUUAGAUACCCUGGUAGUCCACGCCCUAAACGAUGUCUACUAGUUGUCGGGUCUUAAUUGACUGUACGUCGAGCUACGUACGUGAGUAGACCGCCGUCGGGAGGUACGGUCGGUCGAGAGUUAAACGUUACGUAAGUUAGUUAAGUUAGACGGCGNGAGAGNGCGACGGACGACGACGAGGGAGGAGG
This 634-nucleotide ribosomal RNA is filed under the name uncultured bacterium. RNAcentral's name for it is "bacterial SSU rRNA". The stretch from base 1 to 541 matches the Rfam family "Bacterial small subunit ribosomal RNA", at positions 338 to 873 of the family's 1533-position model. The record is from RNAcentral.